Molecule: ribosomal RNA, 459 nt
Filed under: uncultured bacterium
Lineage: Bacteria
Description: partial 16S ribosomal RNA
Rfam family: Bacterial small subunit ribosomal RNA
Source: RNAcentral
CCUACGGGAGGCAGUAGUGAGGAAUAUUGGUCAAUGGCCGAGAGGCUGAACCAGCCAAGUCGCGUGAGGGAUGACGGCCCUACGGGUUGUAAACCUCUUUUGUCGGGGAGCAAAGAGAGUCACGUGUGGCUCAUUGCGAGUGCCCGAAGAAUAAGCAUCGGCUCACUCCGUGCCAGCAGCCGCGGUAAUACGGAGGAUGCGAGCGUUAUCCGGAUUUAUGGGGUGUAAGGGGUGCGCAGGCGGAGGUGCAAGUCAGUGGUCAAAUUGCGGGGCUCAACCCCGUACUGCCGUUGAAACUGCAGCCUUGGAGGGCGCGAGAAGUAUGCGGAAUGCUUGGGGGAGCGGGGAAAUGCAGAGAGAUCACGCAGAACGCCGAUUGCGAAGGGAGCAUACCGGCGCGCAACUGACGCGCAUGCACGAAAGCGUGGGUAUCGAACAGGAUUAGAUACCCUUGUAGUC